UCUCAGAAAAACUGUCCGAGAAUUAGGCCGAUCUGUUCACAGCCUGGCUAGGCUUGUUCUAGCUUUUCUGGGCUGCAGGCCUUUUCUAGGGGGCUGGUGGUGUUUGGUGCUGCUCUGUGGAAGUGUAGCCCCUCCAAAGGGCAAGCAGGCCUGUGCAGGGAGAGCCCCUGCGGUGGUAGGCUUCAGGCAAUUGUUGAGGCCAGCCCUCCUGGAUGGCAGGCAGCCCCAGGUUCGGCGAGAGCGUAGGGGGUGGCGGGGGUGGGGGGAGGGAAUGCACUGGGAAGCACAGCUUUCUGCUAGCUAGCGGGCCUGUAAGCUUGCUGUGGCGUGGGGGGUAUUCUAUGGGGACCCACCCCUUCUUCUCUCCCCUCCCCAGCACGGGCGCAGACCAGGCUCUUCUCCCAGGUUCCCUCUGAGGCGGCUUUCCACUUCCCCGCCCCUAGAGUAUUGCUCCCUUCCUCUGCGACAGCUUUGUUUUCUAGUCUCCCAGGCAGUCUCUGCCCCGUCAAAUGGUUUAGAGACCUCCCAAGCAGUUUCCGCUCUUCCCCGCCCCCCUAGCCCGGGGACUAAUCUCUGGAGCCGAGGUCUCGGUGCCCAGCCCCCACCCAGGCGUCCCCCGGCCCCCUCUCGGGGACUAACCUUCAGAGGCGAGGUCUCGGUGCCCAGCCCCCACCCAGGCGUCUCAAUUUUUGGUGACUGUGCCCGUAGUUCAGAUGGUCCAUUGGGUUCUUGAUCGGCUUUUCCGUACUCCAACUUACUGCUACACUCUUCUCUGCAUCUGGAGAUUCCUCUGGUUCGUUUGAUCUUUCGCCCGGUAGGUGACUUUCCAGGGUGCGGGAUCCCUUUCUCCUCCGCAGUUCCCUUUCGGGAGCGCCCGUCCCGCUCGGAUUCACCUUCUCUCACUCUCCUCUUUUCUCCCGUUCUGCCCAAUAAUAUCACGAAUUUCUUGCCGUUAUUGGAGUUUAGGUUCCUCUGCCAGCAAUUGGUUGCUGUUCUGUGCGAGUCAUUUAUUCUGUAGAUGUGCUUUUUUUGUUGUGUUUGUGGGAGAGGGCGAGCGUGUCCUCCUACUCCUCCGCCAUCUUGUCCUCUUCUCCGGUUUUUUUUUUUUUUAAUGGUUUCCUUUGUUGUGCAAAAUCUUGUCAGUUUGAUUAGGUCCCAUUGGUUUGUUUUUGCUUAUAUUUCUGUUGCCUUGGGAGUCUGACCUAAGAAAACAUUUGUAGCAUUGAUAUCAGAGAAUGUUUUGCCUAUGUUCUCUUCUAGGAGUUUGAUGGUGUCUUAUGUUUAAGUCUUUGAGUUUUUUUGUGUGCAUGGUGUGAGGUUGUGUACCAGUUUCACUGAUUUACAUGUAGCUGUCCAGUUUUCCCAGCACCACUUGCUGAAAAGACUCUCUUUUUCCCUUUUUAUAUUCUUGCCUCCUUUGUCAAAGAUUAAUUGACCAG
RNAcentral lists this long non-coding RNA (1439 nucleotides) under Sus scrofa (pig). Its description in RNAcentral is "lncRNA (ENSSSCG00040036078.1)". Lineage: Eukaryota; Metazoa; Chordata; Mammalia; Artiodactyla; Suidae. The record is from RNAcentral.